This 406-nucleotide long non-coding RNA is filed under the name Citrus x clementina. RNAcentral's name for it is "Citrus clementina (C. clementina) long non-coding RNA (CCLE_LNC002005)". The record is from RNAcentral. Lineage: Eukaryota; Viridiplantae; Streptophyta; Magnoliopsida; Sapindales; Rutaceae.
AGCAAAUGCAAAGAAUAUGAUUUCAUAGUGCACCUAUUGGUGGUUUUCAACAAUAUAAUUUCCAUUUACCGAUUCAAAAGUUUUGAAAUGAUGAAAGCUCAACCAACAAGGCAUAAGGAGUCAAAAUGGAUGCUUCUCCAUUGUUUAGGCUUGCUAUCAUCAAGUUAUGUCAGCAGGCUUGAUUUCUUAGUUGAAGUUACAAUGAUUACUCAUAAAUUUAAAUUUUAAUUGACAAAUGAUUGCUCAUAAAAUUUUCAUGUGAUAGAGCAAUACCAUGAGAAAGAAACAUUUAGAGAGAGGACAAAUAUCUUCUCAAAAAAAAAAAAAAAGAGAACAAUUAUAAAAAUAUUUUAAAAAUAUAUGGCUUGACAGCAGAAUCACACCUCUUGAUUGAUUAGGGUUUAAU